Molecule: long non-coding RNA, 862 nt
Organism: Macrobrachium nipponense
Lineage: Eukaryota; Metazoa; Arthropoda; Malacostraca; Decapoda; Palaemonidae
Exons: 2
Source: RefSeq, a predicted model, not a curated record
UAUUUUUUUAUAGGGAUACAAACUUCUUUGUUUUACUGCAGGUUUUAUCAUUAGAACAAAGUACUCUUAAACCUUAUUAAGAUUUUAUAUACUACUGUAGUAAUGAAUAUCAUGCUCAUCUGUAAGAGGAUUCUUUUAUUUUGUGGGCCUUAUGAAAGAAAAAUGUUUUAAGAUAUGCAUCCUGGCAAAUGCAUUGAUACUGCAGAGUAUAAUUCUUAUUAAAGACUUGUGAAUAUAAGAGAAAAGCACACACUGCUUUAUAACUUCAAAGAGCACAUCAGUAGGAGGACUUGCUUAAACUAUGAUGUAAGAGUGACUGACUUAAUUUUAUCAAAUGAUUCCUAACUUGCCAGAAAGCUUUGCAUUAAAUUAUCAAAUGAUUUGUAACUUGCCAGGAAGCUUUGCAUUAAAUCUGUACAACAAUUAGAUUGUCUGUAAUGUUAGUUUGUCUGUCCAUAAGCUGUGACUUCUGUAUUUGCUACUACCUGACACACAACAGAUACUCUAUAUUUGGAAUGUAUUUUUUUUAUAUUAAAGAUAUUCUUUAAUUGAGAAGACUCCAUGUAAAGUAUGUACAGGGUCUUUGAAAUUACAAUUGCUGAGGAGUAAAUAAGCAGAAAUGUUCUUAGGUUCUAAGAUUUAACCAAAUCACAAAGGUUCUUUGAUAUAUCCAUAGUCAUUGAUUCACAUUAUUUGUUACAAUAUAAUUCUUUUUCUAUUGAGGUACCAGUAAAAUAAAUAGUACUUUAAUAAUAACCCAUAAUAAUUAAGAUGUUUGAGAGAAGAGCCUUGGAUAUUGAUAUUGAAUGCAACAGCACACAAGCAUAAUAAAAAUACUGAAGUACCUUGUGUACUACAUGAA